GAUGAACGCUGGCUACAGGCUUAACACAUGCAAGUCGAGGGGAAACGGCGUUGAGUGCUUGCACUGAAUGGACGUCGACCGGCGCACGGGUGAGUAACGCGUAUCCAACCUUCCCGUUACUGCGGGAUAACCUGCCGAAAGGCAGACUAAUACCGCAUGUUCUUCGAUGACGGCAUCAGAUUCGAAGCAAAGACUCGUCGGUAACGGAGGGGGAUGCGUCUGAUUAGCUUGUUGGCGGGGCGACGGCCCACCAAGGCGACGAUCAGUAGGGGUUCUGAGAGGAAGGUCCCCCACAUUGGAACUGAGACACGGUCCAAACUCCUACGGGAGGCAGCAGUGGGGAAUAUUGGACAAUGGGGGGAACCCUGAUCCAGCGACGCCGCGUGAGUGAAGAAGUAUUUCGGUAUGUAAAGCUCUAUCAGCAGGGAAGAAAAUGACGGUACCUGACUAAGAAGCCCCGGCUAACUACGUGCCAGCAGCCGCGGUAAUACGUAGGGGGCAAGCGUUAUCCGGAUUUACUGGGUGUAAAGGGAGCGCAGACGGCGAAGCAAGUCUGAAGUGAAAUGCAUGGGCUCAACCCAUGAAUUGCUUUGGAAACUGUUUGGCUUGAGUGUCGGAGGGGUAAGCGGAAUUCCUAGUGUAGCGGUGAAAUGCGUAGAUAUUAGGAGGAACACCGGAGGCGAAGGCGGCUUACUGGACGACAACUGACGUUGAGGCUCGAAGGCGUGGGGAGCAAACAGG
RNAcentral lists this ribosomal RNA (741 nucleotides) under uncultured Streptococcus sp. RNAcentral's name for it is "bacterial SSU rRNA". It matches the Rfam family "Bacterial small subunit ribosomal RNA", at positions 28 to 776 of the family's 1533-position model. Lineage: Bacteria; Bacillati; Bacillota; Bacilli; Lactobacillales; Streptococcaceae. The record is from RNAcentral.